CCCAGUAACGGCGAGUGAAGCGGCAACAGCUCAAAUUUGAAAUCUGGCCCCCGGGGUCCGAGUUGUAAUUUGCAGAGGAUGCUUUGGGCGAGGUUCCUUCCGAGUUCCCUGGAACGGGACGCCACAGAGGGUGAGAGCCCCGUCUGGUCGGACACCGAGCCCGUGUAAAGCUCCUUCGACGAGUCGAGUAGUUUGGGAAUGCUGCUCAAAAUGGGAGGUAUAUGUCUUCUAAAGCUAAAUAUUGGCCAGAGACCGAUAGCGCACAAGUAGAGUGAUCGAAAGAUGAAAAGCACUUUGAAAAGAGGGUUAAAAAGUACGUGAAAUUGUUGAAAGGGAAGCGCCUAUGACCAGACUUGCGCCCGGUGAAUCAUCCAGCGUUCUCGCUGGUGCACUUCGCCGGGCACAGGCCAGCAUCAGUUUGGCGCGGGGGACAAAGGCUUCGGGAACGUGGCUCCCUCGGGAGUGUUAUAGCCCGCUGCGUAAUACCCUGCGCCGGACUGAGGUACGCGCAUCGCAAGGAUGCUGGCGUAAUGGUCAUCAGCGACCCGUCUUGAAACACGGACCAAGGAGUCGUCUUCGUAUGCGAGUGUUCGGGUGUUAAACCCCUACGCGGAAUGAAAGUGAACGUAGGUGAGAGCUUCGGCGCAUCAUCGACCGAUCCUGAUGUUCUCGGAUGGAUUUGAGUAAGAGCAUACGGGGCCGGACCCGAAAGAAGGUGAACUAUGCCUGUAUAGGGUGAAGCCAGAGGAAACUCUGGUGGAGGCUCGCAGCGGUUCUGACGUGCGAAUCGAUCGUCAAAUAUGGGCAUGGGGGCGAAAGAC
This 821-nucleotide ribosomal RNA is filed under the name Cordyceps sp. Its description in RNAcentral is "LSU rRNA". It matches the Rfam family "Eukaryotic large subunit ribosomal RNA", at positions 79 to 931 of the family's 3401-position model. Lineage: Eukaryota; Fungi; Ascomycota; Sordariomycetes; Hypocreales; Cordycipitaceae. The record is from RNAcentral.